CUAACACAUGCAAGUCGAACGCAGUAGCAAUACUGAGUGGCAGACGGGUGAGUAACAUGUGGGAAUCUGCCUUGUGGUUCAGGACAACAUUGGGAAACCGAUGCUAAUACUGGAUAAGCCCUUACGGGGAGAGUUUUAAUGCCAUAAGAUGAGCCCGCAUUUGAUUAGUUAGUUGGUGAGGUAAUGGCUCACCAAGACAAUGAUCAAUAGCUGAUCUGAGAGGAUGAUCAGCCACACUGGGACUGAGACACGGCCCAGACUCCUACGGGAGGCAGCAGUGGGGAAUCUUGCACAAUGGAGGAAACUCUGAUGCAGCGAUGCCGCGUGAGUGAAGAGGGCCUUUGGGUUGUAAAGCUCAUUUGUAGGGGAAGAUAAUGACUGUACCCUAAGAAUAAGGUCCGGCUAACUUCGUGCCAGCAGCCGCGGUAAUACGAAGGGACCUAGCGUAGUUCGGAAUUACUGGGCGUAAAGCGCGCGUAGGCCGUUGAGUUAGUUAAUUGUGAAAUCCCAAAGCUUAACUUUGGAACUGCAAUUAAAACUGCUCGACUAGAGUUUGAUAGAGGAAAGCGGAAUACAUAGUGUAGAGGUGAAAUUCGUAGAUAUUAUGUAGAACACCAGUUGCGAAGGCGGCUUUCUGGAUCAACACUGACGCUGAGGCGCGAAAGUAUGGGUAGCAAAGAGGAUUAGAUACCCCUCGUAGUCCAUACCAUAAACGAUGAUUGCUAGAUGUUGGAAAUUUUUUUCAGUAUCGCAGCUAACGCGUUAAGCAA
RNAcentral lists this ribosomal RNA (770 nucleotides) under uncultured Pseudomonadota bacterium. RNAcentral's name for it is "bacterial SSU rRNA". It matches the Rfam family "Bacterial small subunit ribosomal RNA", at positions 48 to 867 of the family's 1533-position model. The record is from RNAcentral. Lineage: Bacteria; Pseudomonadati; Pseudomonadota.